GACGAACGCUGGCGGCGUGCCUAAUACAUGCAAGUCGAACGAAAGCGACCGGUUCUUGCCCUGGUCCAUCUAGUGGCGAACGGGUGAGUCACACGUGGGUACCCUGCUCAUCAGAGGGGGGUAACAUCCGGAAACGGAUUCUAAAACCGCAUAUGUCUGCGAGCCUCAUGGCUUGAAGGGGAACACGGUCGCAAGCUUCUGCUGGUCGAAUGACCUGGGGUGCGUUAGCUAGUUGGUGCGGUAACGGCUCACCAAGGUCGUCGUGCAUAAUCGGCCUGCGAGGGUGAUCGGCCACACUGGGACUGAGACACGGUCCAAACUCCUACGGGAGGCAGCAGUGGGGAAUCUUCAGCAAUGGACGCAAGUCUGACGCAGCAACGCCGCGUGAGUGAAGAAGGUUUUCGGAUUGUAAAACUCUGUUGUUAGAGAAGAACGGGUGCGAGAGUAACGGUUAGCGUUUUGACGGUAUCAAAAGAGAAAGCAACGGCUAACUACGUG
Molecule: ribosomal RNA, 498 nt
Filed under: uncultured bacterium
Lineage: Bacteria
Description: partial 16S ribosomal RNA
Rfam family: Bacterial small subunit ribosomal RNA
Source: RNAcentral